AUUGGACAAAAGAGUGGGCGUCCCAUUUAAUUUUGGCAUGUGAGUUCCUUCACAGAGAAGGACAACUCCUCUUUUGUGCCUAUAUAUCCUAAGAUGCCAUCUCAUGGUGCAAGAAACAAAAGAUCAUAUGGAAAAAUAAGGAAGGAGUUAAGAGGAGUAGAUGAGAAGGACUCUUCCUUCUCAUCGCUAUUUAUUUUGCGUGUCCAUUAAACUCGCAUGUGGUUUGGUGUGGAGGAAUUCAAGAUUAGUUGAAACACUUUC
This 261-nucleotide long non-coding RNA is filed under the name Elaeis guineensis (African oil palm). Its description in RNAcentral is "long non-coding RNA (EGUI_LNC049770)". Lineage: Eukaryota; Viridiplantae; Streptophyta; Magnoliopsida; Arecales; Arecaceae. The record is from RNAcentral.